Molecule: ribosomal RNA, 459 nt
Filed under: uncultured bacterium
Lineage: Bacteria
Description: partial 16S ribosomal RNA
Rfam family: Bacterial small subunit ribosomal RNA
Source: RNAcentral
CCUACGGGAGGCUGCAGUGAGGAAUAUUGGUCAAUGGGCGGGAGCCUGAACCAGCCAAGCCGCGUGAGGGAAGAAGGUACAGCGUAUCGUAAACCUCUUUUGUCAGGGAACAAAGGCGGGGACUAGUCCCCGGAUGAGGGUACCUGAAGAAAAAGCCUCGGCUAACUCCGUGCCAGCAGCCGCGGUAAUACGGAGGAUGCGAGCGUUAUCCGGAUUGAUUGGGUUAAAAGGGUGCGCAGGCGGCCUGUUACGUCAGCGGUAAAAGCCCGGGGCGCAACCCCGGCGAGCCGUUGAAACUGGCGGGCUGGAGUUGGAGAGAAGUACGCGGAAUGCGCGGUGUAGCGGUGAAAUGCUUAGAUAUCGCGCAGAACCCCGAUUGCGAAGGCAGCGUACCGGCUCCACACUGACGCUGAGGCACGAAAGCGUGGGUAUCGAACAGGAUUAGAUACCCUAGUAGUC